AUUGAACGCUGGCGGCAGGCUUAACACAUGCAAGUCGAGCGGGGGAAGGUAGCUUGCUACCGGACCUAGCGGCGGACGGGUGAGUAAUGCUUAGGAAUCUGCCUAUUAGUGGGGGACAACAUCUCGAAAGGGAUGCUAAUACCGCAUACGUCCUACGGGAGAAAGCAGGGGAUCUUCGGACCUUGCGCUAAUAGAUGAGCCUAAGUCGGAUUAGCUAGUUGGGGGGGUAAAGGCCUACCAAGGCGACGAUCUGUAGCGGGUCUGAGAGGAUGAUCCGCCACACUGGGACUGAGGCCCGGCCCAGACUCCUACGGGAGGCAGCAGUGGGGAAUAUUGGACAAUGGGGGGAACCCUGAUCCAGCCAUGCCGCGUGUGUGAAGAAGGCCUUAUGGUUGUAAAGCACUUUAAGCGAGGAGGAGGCUACUCUAGUUAAUACCUAGGGAUAGUGGACGUUACUCGCAGAAUAAGCACCGGCUAACUCUGUGCCAGCCGCCGCCGUAA
Molecule: ribosomal RNA, 501 nt
Filed under: uncultured bacterium
Lineage: Bacteria
Description: partial 16S ribosomal RNA
Rfam family: Bacterial small subunit ribosomal RNA
Source: RNAcentral